This 1613-nucleotide ribosomal RNA is filed under the name Salmonella enterica. RNAcentral describes it as "partial 23S ribosomal RNA". It matches the Rfam family "Bacterial large subunit ribosomal RNA", at positions 1207 to 2802 of the family's 2925-position model. The record is from RNAcentral. Lineage: Bacteria; Pseudomonadati; Pseudomonadota; Gammaproteobacteria; Enterobacterales; Enterobacteriaceae.
AGCGACACUGUGUGUUGUUGGGUAGGGGAGCGUUCUGUAAGCCUGUGAAGGUGUGUCGUGAGGCAUGCUGGAGGUAUCAGAAGUGCGAAUGCUGACAUAAGUAACGAUAAAGCGGGUGAAAAGCCCGCUCGCCGGAAGACCAAGGGUUCCUGUCCAACGUUAAUCGGGGCAGGGUGAGUCGACCCCUAAGGCGAGGCCGAAAGGCGUAGUCGAUGGGAAACGGGUUAAUAUUCCCGUACUUGGUGUUACUGCGAAGGGGGGACGGAGAAGGCUAUGUUGGCCGGGCGACGGUUGUCCCGGUUUAAGCGUGUAGGUGUGUGUUCCAGGUAAAUCCGGUUCACUUUAACACUGAGGCGUGACGACGAGGCACUACGGUGCUGAAGCAACAAAUGCCCUGCUUCCAGGAAAAGCCUCUAAGCAUCAGGUAACAUCAAAUCGUACCCCAAACCGACACAGGUGGUCAGGUAGAGAAUACCAAGGCGCUUGAGAGAACUCGGGUGAAGGAACUAGGCAAAAUGGUGCCGUAACUUCGGGAGAAGGCACGCUGACACGUAGGUGAAGUGAUUUACUCAUGGAGCUGAAGUCAGUCGAAGAUACCAGCUGGCUGCAACUGUUUAUUAAAAACACAGCACUGUGCAAACACGAAAGUGGACGUAUACGGUGUGACGCCUGCCCGGUGCCGGAAGGUUAAUUGAUGGGGUCAGCGCAAGCGAAGCUCCUGAUCGAAGCCCCGGUAAACGGCGGCCGUAACUAUAACGGUCCUAAGGUAGCGAAAUUCCUUGUCGGGUAAGUUCCGACCUGCACGAAUGGCGUAAUGAUGGCCAGGCUGUCUCCACCCGAGACUCAGUGAAAUUGAACUCGCUGUGAAGAUGCAGUGUACCCGCGGCAAGACGGAAAGACCCCGUGAACCUUUACUAUAGCUUGACACUGAACAUUGAGCCUUGAUGUGUAGGAUAGGUGGGAGGCUUUGAAGUGUGGACGCCAGUCUGCAUGGAGCCGACCUUGAAAUACCACCCUUUAAUGUUUGAUGUUCUAACGUGGACCCGUUACCCGGGUUGCGGACAGUGUCUGGUGGGUAGUUUGACUGGGGCGGUCUCCUCCUAAAGAGUAACGGAGGAGCACGAAGGUUGGCUAAUCCUGGUCGGACAUCAGGAGGUUAGUGCAAUGGCAUAAGCCAGCUUGACUGCGAGCGUGACGGCGCGAGCAGGUGCGAAAGCAGGUCAUAGUGAUCCGGUGGUUCUGAAUGGAAGGGCCAUCGCUCAACGGAUAAAAGGUACUCCGGGGAUAACAGGCUGAUACCGCCCAAGAGUUCAUAUCGACGGCGGUGUUUGGCACCUCGAUGUCGGCUCAUCACAUCCUGGGGCUGAAGUAGGUCCCAAGGGUAUGGCUGUUCGCCAUUUAAAGUGGUACGCGAGCUGGGUUUAGAACGUCGUGAGACAGUUCGGUCCCUAUCUGCCGUGGGCGCUGGAGAACUGAGGGGGGCUGCUCCUAGUACGAGAGGACCGGAGUGGACGCAUCACUGGUGUUCGGGUUGUCAUGCCAAUGGCACUGCCCGGUAGCUAAAUGCGGAAGAGAUAAGUGCUGAAAGCAUCUAAGCACGAAACUUGCCCCGA